Dendrobium catenatum is the source of this 1384-nucleotide long non-coding RNA. RefSeq lists it as uncharacterized. Lineage: Eukaryota; Viridiplantae; Streptophyta; Magnoliopsida; Asparagales; Orchidaceae. The transcript is spliced from 2 exons. The record is from RefSeq and is a predicted model, not a curated record.
UUUUAAUGGCCAACAUUCUAUGCCAUAAAGCAUUGCAGGUCUAACUGCCAUCUUAUAGAAUUUUCCCGGAAGUUUGAGUGUUAUUUUUCUAUCACACAACAAGCCCGAUGCAUUCCUUCACUUCAUCCCAUAAGUUUGAGUGGGUUUUAGCUUAAAACGUGAGAAAAAUAUGAUUUAAGACAGCCAUAAGAUUUAUGUGGCUUAAAAAAUUAUGUGGCUGCUAUAUACAUGCCACCUAAAUCUUGACUAUUUACCAAACUAAUUUUUUUCUUUCCUCUAAAAAGUCUAAAAUGCUAAAGGGUGAGGAUAGCAUCUUUUUAGAUGGAUAUGUCUAGUUUUUUAUUCUCAAUUUACUUUUGUUGGAAAAAUGGAUUAAGAUAUUUUUGUGAGCUCUUUCUUGCAGCUGGUUUGUUUAUCAGUUUUUUGUAAGGUUGGAUUACGAUCUUGUACAGGUACUAUAAUUGUACUGUGCAAUCACCACAACAUCCUUGCAUUGCGAUUGAUUUAUUGCACCUAUGGUUUAAUUGUGUGGGCUUUUUAAUCAUGAUUUUCCUUAGUUUGUUGAUCGAAACAUUUCCUUUUAUUUUGGACUCAAAAGGUUAUGAUUGCUAAAAACGUGAAGAAGGGAUUAACUUUAGGAUUUUUGUAAAAAAGCUCUCUUGUUUGUUCUUUCAGUGAGAAAUGAUGGCAUUUUAGAGGCUGCUUGGUUGCAAAUGGGUCAGGCCCAUGGCGGUUUAACAGCUUGUAUAGCAUUCUGUCUGAGUUUCUCUUGCAAAUGUCCAUAGUGGACCUAUCCAGCACGGGCUUGGAGCUGAUCCUUGAUGUAAUCCAGCUGAAAUAGGAAAAAUAUUUGGUCAAACAUCCUUGUGCUUGAACACAGGCUGGCAGCAAUUGUUGAGAUAGAGCUUUUUGCCAUCCUCAACAAUUGGUUUAUCGAAACAUAAUUUUCUUACCUUCAACAGUCUGUAUGGGUUGCUUUUCCCAACAACUCGGAUGAAAUUUAUCUCAGUACUGUAUCUUUUUCUAGCUAGUUUGCUUGACUCAACUGCACCCAUAUUUGCAGCCACCCGAAACAGACUCUUCCAGAAAAGAAGUUGGGCAGUUCAAAUUGAAAAAAAAUAUAUCAAAUAUCUUUUGGUAAAUAUAGUUCAAACAUUUAAAAGGACAAUUUCUAUUAUGUUUGUUUUGCAAGUUCCUCUAUUAUAUUAUCUGAUGUGAUGCAUGGUUGGAGUUACACAAGAAUUAAAAGAGAAUUAAAUUCUAGCUCAACGUAUUAUAUAAUCAUGUAUCAAAGUUAAGUCGAUUACAAGGAAUUCGCGAUGUUCAACUUGAUAGGCAAAGAAAUUACAACAAGAUAGCCAAACUAUUUAAACAAACGCAAAGG